RNAcentral lists this ribosomal RNA (460 nucleotides) under uncultured bacterium. RNAcentral describes it as "partial 16S ribosomal RNA". It matches the Rfam family "Bacterial small subunit ribosomal RNA", at positions 338 to 795 of the family's 1533-position model. The record is from RNAcentral.
CCUACGGGUGGCAGCAGUGAGGAAUCUUUGUCAAUGGACGAGAGCCUGAACCAGCCAAGCCGCGUGAGGGAUGACUGCCCUGCGUAUUGUAAACUUCUUUUAUGAGGGAAUAAAUCCAGGCACUAGUCCCUUUUUGAGUGUACUUUAUGAAUAAGGAUCGGCUAACUCCGUGCCAGCAGCCGCGGUAAUACGGAGGGUGCGAGCGUUAUCCUGAUUUAUUGGGGUUAAAGGGCGGGUAGAGGGGUUGUUAAGUCAGUUGUGAAAGGCUGGGGCUCAACCCUCAGAUGGCAAUUGAUACUGGGAGUCUAGAGUAGAGGUGAGGUAGGCGGAAUUCGUGGUGUAGCGGUGAAAUGCUUAGAUAUCGCGAAGAACCCCGAUGGCGAAGGCAGCGUACUAAACAGACACUGACACUGAUGCACGAAGGCGUGGGUAUCGAACAGGAUUAGAUACCCGAGUAGUC